GUUCUAAUGAAACUCUGUUGGUUGUGUAGAAGAUGCGAUUUUGCACACACUGCUUGACUUGCUAGUGGGAAUGAAGCUUCAUCAGCUGAACUUCCGUCUUCAGAUAAAGCAGUACAGGUAACGGAGACCUCUUCUCCUUCCCAUCCAGUAAGACGAGGCAGAUAGAGCCUGCUAUUACUGAAGGGCCACGGCAUCUUUCUGUCUGAAAUUUGGUAGGCUUCAGAAGGGGUGACCAUGCCUGCAAUUUGCAUCCAAUUCUAGGAGGGGGAAAAAGUUUAAAGGUUUCCUGCAUGAAAGCUCCUGGAUGAAUCUGCCUGAAAUAUGGAAAACUUGUUUUAUUCUAGAGCAGGCAUAGGCAAACUCGGCCCUCCAGAUGUUUUUGGACUACAACUCCCACCAUCCCUAGCUAACAGGACCAGUGGUCAGGAAUGAUGGGAGUUGUAGUCCCAAAACAUCUGGAGGGCCGAGUUUGCCUAUGCCAGUUCUAGAGGGACUCAUUUCUCUGCAAGUUCCACCCAUCUAUGUGGGGGGAAAGAUUAGGGCCAUUUCUAGAUUCCCUAUUAUAACCUAUUUGGGAGGGUAGAGGCAGAGCCUCAGAUUUAACAGAUGCUACAGAUAUAAGACAAAUUUUGUGGUCGCUGCAUACCCAAAAUUUUAAUUUCCUCUGCCCACCCUAGCAUUACGUUAAUUUUGUAUUUCUUUUGGCCACCAUCAACAAAAUUUGAAGUUGAGGGAACAUCAGGUCCCCAGGUUUCAGCACCCCUGGCCUAAAUACCUUUCCUAGGAGAUAACUUGGUAAUUAUUUGCCAACACUUGACCAAUAUAUUAUCAGUAAAGGUAAAGGGACCCCUGACCGUUAGGUCCAGUCACGAAUGACUCUGGGGUUGUGGCACUCACCUGGUCGAGGGAGCUGGGUCAUGUGGCCAGCAUGACUAAGUGACUUCUGGCGAACCAGAGCAGCAUACGGAAACACCUUCCUGCCGGAGCGGUACCUGUUUAUCUACUUGCACUUUGACGUGCUUUCGAACUGCUAGGUUGGCAGGAAUAGGGACCAAGCAAUGGGAGCUCACCCCAUCGCGGGGAUUCGAACUGCUGACCUUCUGAUUGGCAAGUCCUAGGCUCUGUGGUUUAGACCACAGCGCCACCCGCCAAAUGCCAAAAUUAAUUAGACCAGGUUUUUUGUAAUGUUGGCUAACUCUCUUUAGUUACUGCUUCUCUUCUUUCUGUUUUUGGUUUCACUACAGUUUUCAGUAAUGUUUGGAGGUUGUAAAUAAUGAUGAUGAUGAUGAUGAUAAUUAUAAAUCUAUAUCCUGCCCUUCCUCCCAAAGGAAACUAGGCCAGUAUGCUGAUUGGGGUUUUGAAAUUUGGGGUCUGUCAGCUGCCCUGCAAAUUGCAAAACUGAAGGAUAGGAUGGCAAGCAUUUCAAAUAAAAUAACUUUUAUUUUACCCUGUAACAGUGAGUUACAGGAGCAAACAUUAUUUAGCAUUUGAAAGAAUAGUUACACCAAUCUUCUCGAUUAUUUGGAAAUUACUGAGUCACCACCAUCUUUACUGAUAAAAGUUAAGUUUUCCAAUCGAACACAUGAUGGUGCUAAAGUACAAGAAAUGAGGCAGGUAGAUUGGAGUGUUUGAGGAAAGGCAGGAGUAAGGGAAUCAUGUUCAUCUCUUCCGUAACACCAAUAAACCAACCAGCAAACCAGGCAAUAGCACUGACAGUUUGUGGGCACUUCAACCCAAAGAGAUGUAUUAACAAUUUCUGAAUUUUCCAUUCAUUUUGGAAUUAUCAGUCCCAUCCAAGCACUUAUGGAGAGUGACAUCUGUACUUUUGGAGCUUUUCUUCCUUAAAAUUACAGCGAAGCGAGCUGAGCUGUCUUGGUGUUUGUGGGCGCAGGAUACAAAUAGAAUGGAUUUCAAAGUUAGUUGCAAAUCACUGUCAUGGCCUGGCUGGGUCAGGAUGCAGGAUGCAGAGAGCACAUUGUCUGAGGACCCGGGGGAGGGCUCCAGUGGGAUGUGGGGAGUCGGGGACCUCUGCUGGGAUUGGAGCAGCCUAUUAGUGGGGAUGGAGGGGGGCAGGGGUGCCAAUCUGAAUAAAAUAUUGGGGGGACUGCCCCACAGAACUGAUUGCAUGACAUGGCACAAACACACCAUUUGAAUGGCAUUGCCCAUCAACUUUGGGGGGCAGCCCCCUCAAAUAUUUUAUUGGGGGGGACCGAAGGGACCUUGACCACUACCAGUUGGCUUCUGCAAGAGAUUGGGCAAAGGAGGAAUGUUGGAGACCGCCUCUCCCGCCGGAGUGGAACCUAUUUAUCUACUUGCACGUUGACAUGCUUUCAAACUGCUAGGUUGGCAGGAGCAGGGACCAAGCAACAGGAGCUCACCCCGUCUCGGGGAUUCAAACCGCAGACCUUCUGAUCAGCAAGCCCAAGAGGCUCAGUGGUUUAGACCACAGCGCCACCCGCCAAAUGCCAAAAUUAAUUAGACCAGGUUUUUUGUAAUGUUGACUAACUCUCUUUAGUUACUGCUUCUCUUCUUUCUUCUUCAGAGAAGAAGACAGUUCAGAUUUACAACAAGGGAGAGAGGCCACAACUCAAAGGCAGAUGAGAGAGAAAGCUAGGAAAUAAUGGGAGAGGAGGAGGAGGAAGAGGAAGCACCAGG
Podarcis lilfordi (Lilford's wall lizard) is the source of this 2655-nucleotide non-coding RNA. Lineage: Eukaryota; Metazoa; Chordata; Lepidosauria; Squamata; Lacertidae. The record is from the annotation of a GenBank genome assembly.